UGUCUGAGCCAAUCACUGUGCUGUUUGGACGGAGGUGACAGUCUGUUCGCUGACGUUCUCUGUUCUUUUCCGACUUUUCAAAUUCAUCUUUAAUUCUUAUCAGUCGGCCGAGUCAGUGAAGUGGAGCAUUGCAGCAGACAUGUUGCAGCAGUUGGUGAUUAAAGAAGAAAUGCUGUCUGAACAGCAGGAGUUGAGUUAGAGUAUCGACCAGAAGGACGUUAAACAGGAACAAGAGGAAGUCUGGACAAGUAACGAGGGACAGCAGCUUCACUGGCUGGACACUGAGAAGACCAAGUUUGGUUUUGCCCGUGUCCCUGUGAAGACUGAAAAUGAUGAUGAAAUGCCACAGUCAUCACAGGUUCUUCAAAACUCAGACAUGCAGCUGUUGUUGGUGAUUAAAGAAGAAACUCUCCCUGAACACCAGGAAUGGAAUC
Thalassophryne amazonica is the source of this 434-nucleotide long non-coding RNA. RefSeq lists it as uncharacterized. The transcript has 3 exons. NCBI's taxonomy places the organism in Eukaryota, Metazoa, Chordata, Actinopteri, Batrachoidiformes, Batrachoididae. The record is from RefSeq and is a predicted model, not a curated record.